UACGUAGGGUGCAAGCGUUGUCCGGAAUUAUUGGGCGUAAAGAGCUCGUAGGCGGUCUGUCGCGUCCGUUGUGAAAACUCGAGGCUCAACCUCGGGCUUGCAGUGGAUACGGGCAGACUAGAGGUAGGUAGGGGAGAACGGAAUUCCCGGUGUAGCGGUGAAAUGCGCAGAUAUCGGGAGGAACACCGGUGGCGAAGGCGGUUCUCUGGGCCUUACCUGACGCUGAGGAGCGAAAGCAUGGGGAGCGAACAGG
This 253-nucleotide ribosomal RNA is filed under the name uncultured bacterium. Its description in RNAcentral is "partial 16S ribosomal RNA". It matches the Rfam family "Bacterial small subunit ribosomal RNA", at positions 524 to 776 of the family's 1533-position model. The record is from RNAcentral.